AAAGUAAACCAGGCAACCGCCGGUGGAGCGCCGCAAGGCCCCACGGGAGGAAAGUCCGAGCUCCACAGGGCAGGGUGCCGGCUAACGGCCGGUGGGGGCGACCCUAAGGCUAGUGCCACAGAAAUGCAGACCGCCGAUGGAAGCGCUUGGCGCUUCACAGGCAAGGGUGCAACGGUGCGGUAAGAGCGCACCAGCAGCAUGGAGACAUGCUGGCUAGGUAAACCCCACCCGGAGCAAGACCUAGUAGGGGAUCGGCACGUCGUCGAACGUGCAGCUGUGGCCCGCAGCGAUCCCGGGUAGGUCGCUGGAGCCGUGCAGCAAUGCACGGCCUAGAUAGAUGGUUGCCACUCCAAGGGGUGGGAGGCGGGGCAAGCCGCCGCGAUACCACUCGGAGUACAGAACUCGGCUUACGGUUUGCUUUCCUC
Molecule: RNase P RNA, 425 nt
Filed under: Planifilum fimeticola
Lineage: Bacteria; Bacillati; Bacillota; Bacilli; Caryophanales; Thermoactinomycetaceae
Description: Bacterial RNase P class A
Rfam family: Bacterial RNase P class A
About the family: Ribonuclease P (RNase P) is a ubiquitous endoribonuclease, found in archaea, bacteria and eukarya as well as chloroplasts and mitochondria. Its best characterised activity is the generation of mature 5'-ends of tRNAs by cleaving the 5'-leader elements of precursor-tRNAs.
Source: RNAcentral